GGUGGCUCAGUGGUACAGCGCUUGUCUUGCAUGCAUGAGGCCCUGGGUUCAAUUCCUCAGCACCA
This 65-nucleotide transfer RNA is filed under the name Dipodomys ordii (Ord's kangaroo rat). It matches the Rfam family "tRNA". From Rfam's summary of the family: Transfer RNA (tRNA) molecules are approximately 80 nucleotides in length. Their secondary structure includes four short double-helical elements and three loops (D, anti-codon, and T loops). Lineage: Eukaryota; Metazoa; Chordata; Mammalia; Rodentia; Heteromyidae. The record is from Rfam by way of RNAcentral.